RNAcentral lists this ribosomal RNA (406 nucleotides) under uncultured bacterium. Its description in RNAcentral is "partial 16S ribosomal RNA". It matches the Rfam family "Bacterial small subunit ribosomal RNA", at positions 30 to 526 of the family's 1533-position model. The record is from RNAcentral.
AUUGAACGCUGGCGGCAGGCCUAACACAUGCAAGUCGAACGAGUGGCGGACGGGUGAGUAAUGUCUGGGAAACUGCCUGAUGGAGGGGGAUAACUACUGGAAACGGUAGCUAAGACCGCAUACCAUAAGAUGUGCCCAGAUGGGAUUUGCGAGUUGGUGGGGUAACGGCUCACCAGGGCGACGACCCCCAGCUGGCCUGAGCGGAUGACCGGCCACACUGGAACUGAGACACGGUCCAGACUCCUACGGGAGGCAGCAGUGGGGAAUAUUGCACAAUGGGCGCAAGCCUGCUGCAGCCAUGCGGCGUGUAUGAAGAAGGCCUUCGGUUUGUAAAGUACUUUCAGCGGGGAGGCGUUACCCGCAGAGAAAGCACCGGCUAACUCCGUGCCAGCAGCCGCGGUAAUUC